GUGUGUGUGUGUGAGUGACGGUCUGUGAGUGAGGUGGUGUGUGUGUGUGUGUGAGGUGGUCUGUGAGUGAGUGUGUGUGUGUGUGUGUGUGUGUGUGUGAGGUGGUGUGUGUGUGUUUAGAGAAAGAGGAGGACGGAGCUCAAGUCAACAUCACCGCUUUAUUGAUAGACACAGUAAAGCAUGUUAUAAUACAGUAGUAAGGCAUAUAUUUGGUGGAAUUUGAUAUGUUGUGGAACAAAUGAGUUAUUGAAAAAGAUGGACAAUACAACUCCAGGGUUAGAAAUGAAUGACACAGUGGAUUAAUGAAUCAUUAUCUUUGAUCAUGCUGCUAUAAACAUGGUGACAAAACGAAGCAAAAAGGUGUUGUCAUGAAACUGUAAUAAUCCUGAAGAAUACCUUCAAUUGUUUGGGUUUGAAAUAAACAUCAACUGUGAUCUCACACUGAUAACGCCCCCACACCAUGCAAUUCCAUAAAGGAGCACACAAAUAAAACUAAACAAAUGCAUUAGCACACAGAAGAUCAACUCUAGUCUGUCCAGGAUGGAUAACAGUAGUGCACCCUGGUCCAGUUUCCUUAAACAUGUCUGACAUUUAAUUUCUAUAUCUUAAUGAACCGCUGAGGACAGUACAGUGUAUGUAUCUGAACACAUUCAGAUUGGAGGGACUCAUUCCGUUUCAAAACAUAGAUGGGUUCUUUACGAUGGCAUCCAGCUACACUGAGGACACUACAGUGUAUGUAUCUGGAGGGACUCAUUCCAUUUCAAAACAUGGAUGGGUUCUUUAAGAUGGCAUCCAGCUACACUGAGGACACUACAGUGUAUGUAUCUGGAGGGACUCAUUCCAUUUCAAAACAUGGAUGGGUUCUUUACGAUGGCAUCCAGCUACACUGAGGACACUACAGUGUAUGUAUCUGGAGGGACUCAUUCCAUUUCAAAACAUGGAUGGGUUCUUUACGAUGGCAUCCAGCUACACUGAGGACA
Long non-coding RNA from Oncorhynchus tshawytscha (Chinook salmon), 980 nucleotides. The record is from Ensembl. NCBI's taxonomy places the organism in Eukaryota, Metazoa, Chordata, Actinopteri, Salmoniformes, Salmonidae.